AGUCUGACGACAUCAUUCAAAAGUAAAACACCUACAUUUUAUUUUUUAAAUUUAGUCUUCAAAAUGUUCAUUGGUCCAGUUCAAAAAGAGCACCUCCACAUGAUGAUCCUUGGCUGUGGUUGGCCUUGUGGAUCACUGAGUGGACCCUGCUGCGGUGGGUGCUGUGGCAGCUGUUGCGGUGGCUGCGGCGGUUGCGGCGGCUGCUGUUGAUCUUGAACGAGACCUUUAGACCUGGACCAAUGCACAUCAAUUGCCAGGAUCUUUGCGAAGCAAAUGAAACCACAAUUAACAUCUGCAAGCAAGAGCAAAAUCACGGCAUGAAGAAUAUGUUUAAUAAAUGGUUGUGAGACGUUAUUUAAA
RNAcentral lists this small RNA (360 nucleotides) under Drosophila virilis. RNAcentral describes it as "GJ26781". Lineage: Eukaryota; Metazoa; Arthropoda; Insecta; Diptera; Drosophilidae. The record is from RNAcentral.